This 301-nucleotide ribosomal RNA is filed under the name uncultured bacterium. Its description in RNAcentral is "partial 16S ribosomal RNA". It matches the Rfam family "Bacterial small subunit ribosomal RNA", at positions 509 to 808 of the family's 1533-position model. The record is from RNAcentral.
CAGUAGCCGCGGUAAUACGUAGGUCCCGAGCGUUGUCCGGAUUUAUUGGGCGUAAAGCGAGCGCAGGCGGUUAGAUAAGUCUGAAGUUAAAGGCUGUGGCUUAACCAUAGUACGCUUUGGAAACUGUUUAACUUGAGUGCAGAAGGGGAGAGUGGAAUUCCAUGUGUAGCGGUGAAAUGCGUAGAUAUAUGGAGGAACACCGGUGGCGAAAGCGGCUCUCUGGUCUGUAACUGACGCUGAGGCUCGAAAGCGUGGGGAGCGAACAGGAUUAGAUACCCGUGUAGUCCCUGUCUCUUAUACA